CAGACUAUCCACAUUAGGAUCCCAUAAAAAUCUGGAGCUGGUUGGCUGCAUGCAACGCGUAUGAGAGCUUAUUGUUCACAUUAAUAUAGUUGUCAAUCUGAGUUAACUUUUUUACAUCCAGUGAAUAUGAUGUGGCCAAGGCAGUGGGAGCGGGAUGAACGGACGCGCCAAGGAGCUGUGGAGAAGGCCCGGCAAAGUGGUUCUUCCUCUCUGGAAGGAUGUCAGCUCUCUGUGCCUGGCCAUCCCUGAGGACGCUUGAUGUCAUCUUGUCUACCUGAUCAUUACACUACCUGCUCUCCUCUACAAUGCCGGCCUCUCUCUACUCCGCCACUUGAAAUGCUUGGCUGGCCUCUUCUCUGAAACCAUCAUGAAAUUGUGUGCUAAAACACUGCAGACUGUUCCUCCUCUCUCCUUCCUCCAGCCAAGUGUGCAGGAGCCAGAAAAAGAUUCCUCCACUCGGACGACUGCUGCCCAGCCAAAGGGAAAACGCACAAAACAUCCUUCAGCUGCCUGCCACAGCUCACAUCUUUUAUUUGAGUUAUUCAUGUUGGUAGCGUAUGAGAUUUUAUAGCAAUAUUAUUAUAUUCAAUGGACACAUACCAAGUUGUUUAAAAAAGAGCUCCUUUUGUAGUGUCACCGUAGAAAAAGCGCAGGUGAAAAAAAUAAUGGCUAAAGUGCGUUUGGCUGCUAUGAAAUGUACUGCAAAAUAGACUGCAGUGCAAAAAAUAGACUGCAGUGUACAAUGUCAAUACUUCACUGUCACUGCAAAAAUGCACCAGAAACACUGAUAAAGCAAUUGCAGUAUUGCGUUCAUCAUCAUUCAUAUAAAUACUGACAUAUAAACAUUUUCCUCAACUUUAACACACUGCAAGAAACUGCUUUCAUCUCGUCAAGUGUCUCUUUCAUUUGGUUUAAGCUAUGUGUGAAUGAAUAACUUACAAAUGUAAACAAUUAUGUACUCUGUAUAUUCAAAGAUGAGGCUUUACAUAAACUUUGGAAUAAAUUUUGUUUCAUGUAAAGGAGGGAAGGAUUUUGUCUCCCAUCACUUCCAUUGAAAUUAGAAUCAGAAUUUGAUUUAUUGCCAAAUAACUGACACAAGGAAAACAGAAGAAAUAAUCACAGCAAGCAAAACCUGUUUCAAUGUUCAAAUGCACCUGACUUUUGUUUUAAGACAGACUUAAACAAUGUGGAAACUAUUCUUUAAUGUGUACAAUUUGUGGUCCUAUUUUUUAACACUUUUACCAGCGAUUAUAGUUACUCAGUAAGAUUAAGAAAUCAACUGCGUAGUCAGGGAACCUUUUCAAAUGUGUUUAAACAUAUGAGAUCAUUAAUGUUAGAUUGUCUGAACACGCUGCAGUGUCAGCAUGGAUCUGGCUCACGUAGAGUGGAGAGGUAACACACACAGUAAAGAGUGCCGUGCUCUGCUGCUGGACAUUAAGCAGUGGACGGGGAAGUGUCUUGCUCGAGAACAUCUCAGCAGCAAUUGCAGAGGGAGGGGCUCCUUUUAUUUUUAAAGAUUAUUUGUUGGGACAUUUUAGGCCUUUAUUUCCACAGGACAGAUGAAAACAUGAAAGGGGAAAGAGGGGGAAUGACACACAGCAAAGGGCCACAGGGGGGAACAAACCGGCAGCCACUGCGUCAAGGAGUAAACCUCCACGUAUGUGCACCUGCUUUACCAACUGAGCUAACCCGGCCACAUCGUAUUUCUUUUCCCAGGUGUUCCAAGCUCAUCCAGGGAUUGGAUCUGUUCACAGAUGUGCUUCUUUUAGAGAUGGCUGGCCCAGUUCCA
Long non-coding RNA from Etheostoma spectabile (orangethroat darter), 1789 nucleotides. RefSeq lists it as uncharacterized. NCBI's taxonomy places the organism in Eukaryota, Metazoa, Chordata, Actinopteri, Perciformes, Percidae. The transcript is spliced from 2 exons. The record is from RefSeq and is a predicted model, not a curated record.